GCCCAGACUCCUACGGGAGGCAGCAGUGGGGGAUAUUGCACAAUGGGGGGAACCCUGAUGCAGCGACGCCGCGUGGGUGAAGGAGCGUUUCGGCGCGUAAAGCCCUAUCGGCAGGGAAGAGGGAGGACGGUACCUGACUAAGAAGCCCCGGCUAACUACGUGCCAGCAGCCGCGGGAAUACGUAGGGGGCAAGCGUUAUCCGGAUUUACUGGGUGUAAAGGGAGCGUAGGCGGUUUAGCAAGUCAGAAGUGAAAGCCCGGGGCUCAACUCCGGGACUGCUUUGGAAACUGCCCGGCUAUAGUGCUGGAGAGGUAAGCGGAAUUCCUAGUGUAGCGGUGAAAUGCGUAGAUAUUAGGAGGAACACCAGUGGCGAAGGCGGCUUACUGGACAGUAACUGACGUUGAGGCUCGAAAGCGUGGGGAGCAAACAGGAUUAGAUACCCUCGUA
Molecule: ribosomal RNA, 447 nt
Filed under: uncultured bacterium
Lineage: Bacteria
Description: partial 16S ribosomal RNA
Rfam family: Bacterial small subunit ribosomal RNA
Source: RNAcentral